AUGGCAAGGCGGUCCCUGCUUGAUGGGACAACAGUACAGGAGGUCCCUGUGGGCCUGGUGUCUGGGGAAGACACAGAACUGAAGGCCCUGGUGACAGGAUUCGUGGCCCACCGCUCCUUCGCCGUCCCUGCCGCCACCAUCCACGCUCAGCGUCGUAGAGAAGAUGGUCGGAACAGCGCCAUCGCCGCCGGUGUAUGCGGAGCCCUUUUUAUUGGGUACUGCAUCUACUUCGACCGCAAAAGACGAAGUGAAGAACAGGCUUCGAGAACGAAGAAAGAAACAGAAGCUUGCCAAGGAGAGAGCUGGGCUUUCCAAGUUACCUGACCUUAAAGACGCUGAAGCUGUUCAGAAGUUCUUCCUUGAAGAAAUACAGCUUGGUGAAGAGUUACUAGCUCAAGGUGAAUAUGAGAAGGGCGUAGACCAUCUCACAAAUGCAAUUGCUGUGUGUGGACAGCCACAGCAGUUACUGCAGGUCUUACAGCAAACUCUUCCACCACCAGUGUUCCAGAUGCUUCUGACUAAGCUCCCAACAAUUAGUCAGAGAAUUGUAAGUGCUCAGAGCUUGGCUGAAGAUGAUGUGGAAUGAGAAACAAAUGUCAACAUAAUAAAAUCUCAGUUAAAAAUAUUUUUAAAAUUUUUGGUAGUUGAGCAGCUCUGGGGGAAUAAGGGCAAAUAUGCUUGUUAUGAACUACACUGAAAUCUACCAAAGUUAAUGUUUACUUUGUGUAGAUCCAUUUGUCUAUUUUAUUUAUUUUUCCCAGUGAAAAGUGUAUUUUGGUAGAUACACGUUUUAUUCAUUUUAUACACUUUUUAUUCAUUUUAUAAAUACACUAUGAGUUACU
Molecule: RNA transcript, 842 nt
Organism: Rhinopithecus roxellana (golden snub-nosed monkey)
Lineage: Eukaryota; Metazoa; Chordata; Mammalia; Primates; Cercopithecidae
Gene name: mitochondrial import receptor subunit TOM20 homolog pseudogene
Exons: 2
Source: RefSeq, a predicted model, not a curated record